Molecule: ribosomal RNA, 467 nt
Filed under: uncultured bacterium
Lineage: Bacteria
Description: partial 16S ribosomal RNA
Rfam family: Bacterial small subunit ribosomal RNA
Source: RNAcentral
GAUGAACGCUGGCGGCGUGCUUAACACAUGCAAGUCGAACGGAAAGGCCCAAGCUUGCUUGGGUACUCGAGUGGCGAACGGGUGAGUAACACGUGGGUGAUCUGCCCCGCACUUCGGGAUAAGCCUGGGAAACUGGGUCUAAUACCGGAUAGGACAGUGGUUUGGAUGCCAUUGUGGAAAGUUUUUCCGGUGUGGGAUGAGCUCGCGGCCUAUCAGCUUGUUGGUGGGGGAAUGGCCUACCAAGGCGUCGACGGGUAGCCGGCCUGGGAGGGUGUACGGCCACAUUGGGACUGGGAUACGGCCCAGACUCCUACGGGAGGCAGCAGUGGGGAAUAUUGCACAAUGGGCGGGAGCCUGAUGCAGCGACGCCGCGUGGGGGAUGACGGCCUUCGGGUUGUAAACUCCUUUCGCUAGGGACGAAGCGUUAUGUGACGGUACCUAGAGAAGAAGCACCGGCUAACUACGUG